GAGUAGGGUUGGGUUAGGAGUAGGGUUAGGGUAAGGUAGGGUUAGUGUUGGGUUAGGAGUAGGGUUAGGAUUAGAGUUGGGUUAGGAAUAGGGUUACGAGUAAGGUUACUCCUAACCCUAAACCUACUCCUAACCCAACCCUAACCCAAACCCUACUCCUACCCCUAACCCUACCCUAACUCUAACCCUACUCUUAGCCCAACCCUAACCCUACUUCUAACCCUACCCUAACCC
Molecule: non-coding RNA, 234 nt
Organism: Pelobates cultripes (western spadefoot toad)
Lineage: Eukaryota; Metazoa; Chordata; Amphibia; Anura; Pelobatidae
Source: the annotation of a GenBank genome assembly